CAGGGAAUAGUUGCUGGACAGGUUCCCAAGCAGAUUACACUGCGCUCGAUAACAGCGUAAUAGGUGCUGAUAGAAUAUGUGACUGCACUUUCGACGGUGAUGUCAAUUUGUCGGUGACUCUGAAGUCAUCUCAUGUACGUUCAGGCACAGUAGAGGAGACUGAGCCUCUGCCUUCCUCUCAGGACCCUGCUGUGAAAACGCUCAGGAAGCACAAGGUGGAGCUCAUCGACUGCCUAAGUGCGGAUCACUCCUUCAUUCUGCAGCAUGUUGAUGCCAAAGAUAUUGUCACACGCAUUCAGUAUCAAAAUCUGAUGUCUAUCCCAUCGCCAGGAGAAACUGUCACCAAACUGAUCGAUCAAAUUAUUAACAAAGGUCCAAAAUCCUGCUCUCACUUCGUUGAACUUCUCAAAGAUCCUGAACUUCACAACACCUACCCACUGCUCAGAGAAAUAACUGAACACUGGUGCUGAGCAGUGUUGAAUUCAGCAGCUCAGGUAAUUUUCCUGAACAGAAUAUUGAGUUAUAUAUUUUCUAAAUCUGCUCCUCCUUUUUUUAGAUGCACAUGGGACAGAUCAUGUACCACACAUUGGCUGAGGUCGAAUACUCUUUUUUUUUUUUUUUUUUUUUUUUCUUAGUAAGGUUCCAGACUGAGUGAAAUGUUCUGGAAGAAUCAAAGCGUCAGCCGUUUGAAUUCUCCAAAUGUUCAGGAAAGGGGCUUCAGUGCUUCCUGUCUUAUCUCCUUUAGCAUACGCUACACUGGUCCGUCCGUUAUGAGAGGAAAAGAGAAUGCCGUCCCAUGAUUCCCUGCAGCAGCAGCGUUUAAAGCGAUGCACCGUGGCAGACCCACAUGAACCUGGAAACAACAGAGCACUUAUUUUAUGUUUGUGACAGAUCCAAAACUUCUGGAAAUCCUUCAUGAUUGGCUGAGCU
Molecule: long non-coding RNA, 930 nt
Organism: Lates calcarifer (barramundi perch)
Lineage: Eukaryota; Metazoa; Chordata; Actinopteri; Centropomidae
Exons: 3
Source: RefSeq, a predicted model, not a curated record